This 354-nucleotide small RNA is filed under the name Syntrophales bacterium. RNAcentral's name for it is "transfer-messenger RNA". It matches the Rfam family "transfer-messenger RNA". Rfam says of the family: Bacterial tmRNA, also known as 10Sa RNA or SsrA, is named for its dual tRNA and mRNA-like properties. Its role is to liberate the mRNA from a stalled ribosome. To accomplish this part of the tmRNA is used as a reading frame that ends in a translation stop signal. Lineage: Bacteria; Pseudomonadati; Thermodesulfobacteriota; Syntrophia; Syntrophales. The record is from RNAcentral.
GGGGGCGUCACGGUUUCGACGGGGAUAGUUGAAGCUGUAGCAGCGUACCGAGGUUCCUACAGGCCUCGUUAAACAGGUAGGAAACACAUAAUCGCAGAAAACUACGAUUACGCCUUAGCCGCUUAAGCGGCUAACGUUCUGCCGGUUCUGCCUGCCGGGCCGAACAGAGCGUCGAUCAGACAGGAUAGCCGAUCUCUCUUGCCCGGCGGGAGAAAGGCGAAUUCAAAACGGGAUAGUUCCUGAUCAAUCCUGCCUUUGGGAGUUUUCAGAAGCGAAUGCAAAUCAAAGGAUACGUACGUAGAAACUGCAGUGGAAUAUUUUCGGACGCGGGUUCGACUCCCGCCGCCUCCACCA